RNAcentral lists this ribosomal RNA (941 nucleotides) under Isoptericola chiayiensis. RNAcentral describes it as "bacterial SSU rRNA". It matches the Rfam family "Bacterial small subunit ribosomal RNA", at positions 56 to 1002 of the family's 1533-position model. The record is from RNAcentral. Lineage: Bacteria; Bacillati; Actinomycetota; Actinomycetes; Micrococcales; Promicromonosporaceae.
UGCAAGUCGAACGGUGAAGCCCAGCUUGCUGGGUGGAUCAGUGGCGAACGGGUGAGUAACACGUGAGCAACCUGCCCUCCACUUCGGGAUAAGCCUUGGAAACGGGGUCUAAUACCGGAUAUGAGCACAUGGCGCAUGUCGUGUGUUGGAAAGUUUUUCGGUGGGGGAUGGGCUCGCGGCCUAUCAGCUUGUUGGUGGGGUGAUGGCCUACCAAGGCGUCGACGGGUAGCCGGCCUGAGAGGGCGACCGGCCACACUGGGACUGAGACACGGCCCAGACUCCUACGGGAGGCAGCAGUGGGGAAUAUUGCACAAUGGGCGAAAGCCUGAUGCAGCGACGCCGCGUGAGGGAUGACGGCCUUCGGGUUGUAAACCUCUUUCAGCAGGGAAGAAGGCCUUCGGGUGGACGGUACCUGCAGAAGAAGCGCCGGCUAACUACGUGCCAGCAGCCGCGGUAAUACGUAGGGCGCAAGCGUUGUCCGGAAUUAUUGGGCGUAAAGAGCUCGUAGGCGGUCUGUCGCGUCUGGUGUGAAAACCUCAGGCUCAACCUGGGGCGUGCAUCGGGUACGGGCAGACUAGAGUGCGGUAGGGGAGACUGGAAUUCCUGGUGUAGCGGUGGAAUGCGCAGAUAUCAGGAGGAACACCGAUGGCGAAGGCAGGUCUCUGGGCCGCAACUGACGCUGAGGAGCGAAAGCAUGGGGAGCGAACAGGAUUAGAUACCCUGGUAGUCCAUGCCGUAAACGUUGGGCACUAGGUGUGGGGCUCAUUCCACGAGUUCCGUGCCGCAGCUAACGCAUUAAGUGCCCCGCCUGGGGAGUACGGCCGCAAGGCUAAAACUCAAAGGAAUUGACGGGGGGCCCGCACAAGCGGCGGAGCAUGCGGAUUAAUUCCGAUGCAACGCGAAGAACCUUACCAAAGGUUUGACAUGCACCGGACGCUGCC